UGAAAACCUAGAGUUUACACUGACACUUUCAGUCCUAAUCUAAUCAAGAAGUUCCCUCUAGUACUCUACUUUUCUAUAUGAAUUUUGUAUAGAUAGUCAGAAACUCACUCUCACUAUCCUUAAAGUAUGUCUAAUCUGUUUCCUGGUAAGUAAAAUCUCUUGAUUCCAUGCCUUUUAACUGCUUCAGAUACUUUCAUAGCCUUGCUUAGGUUACAGCUAUGUUCCAGACUGGGCAUCCACACCUCUCCCUCCCCACAGUCAAUCUCCCAACAUCACAGGACUCUAACACCACAUUACCAGGCAUCAGACUAGGCAACUAUCAUCCCAUCCCUGCCUCUUGGACAUUUACUUCUUUUUAAAGUAAGGAGACAAGGAAAGAGGGCCUUCCUUACAUGGGGAAUAUACUCCACUGAGCUUCUGAGGAACUAACCCUGUGUUC
RNAcentral lists this long non-coding RNA (439 nucleotides) under Marmota monax (woodchuck). The record is from RNAcentral. Lineage: Eukaryota; Metazoa; Chordata; Mammalia; Rodentia; Sciuridae.